RNAcentral lists this ribosomal RNA (586 nucleotides) under uncultured Alphaproteobacteria bacterium. RNAcentral's name for it is "partial 16S ribosomal RNA". The record is from RNAcentral. Lineage: Bacteria; Pseudomonadati; Pseudomonadota; Alphaproteobacteria.
CGUUGGGAGCUCUCCCAUAUGGUCGACCUGCAGGCGGCCGCGAAUUCACUAGUGAUUCGUAUUACCGCGGCUGCUGGCACGGAGUUAGCCGGAGCUUAUUCUCCCGGUACUGUCAUUAUCAUCCCGGGUAAAAGAGCUUUACAACCCUAAGGCCUUCAUCACUCACGCGGCAUUGCUGGAUCAGGCUUUCGCCCAUUGUCCAAUAUUCCCCACUGCUGCCUCCCGUAGGAGUCUGGGCCGUGUCUCAGUCCCAGUGUGGCUGAUCAUCCUCUCAGACCAGCUAAGGAUCGUCGCCUUGGUGCGCCUUUACCACACCAACUAGCUAAUCCUACGCGGGCUCAUCCCUCGGCGAUAAAUCUUUGGACUUACGUCGUCAUCCGGUAUUAGCAGUCAUUUCUAACUGUUAUUCCGAACCAAGGGGCAGAUUCCCACGCGUUACGCACCCGUGCGCCACUAAGGCCGAAGCCUUCGUUCGACUUGCAUGUGUUAGGCAUGCCGCCAGCGUUCGUUCUGAGCCAUGAUCAAACUCUAAUCGAAUUCCCGCGGCCGCCAUGGCGGCCGGGAGCAUGCGACGUCGGGCCCAAUU